This 254-nucleotide ribosomal RNA is filed under the name uncultured bacterium. RNAcentral's name for it is "partial 16S ribosomal RNA". It matches the Rfam family "Bacterial small subunit ribosomal RNA", at positions 524 to 776 of the family's 1533-position model. The record is from RNAcentral.
CACGUAGGGUGCGAGCGUUGUCCGGAAUUAUUGGGCGUAAAGAGCUCGUAGGCGGUGUGUCGCGUCGGCCGUGAAAACCUGCAGCUUAACUGUGGGCUUGCGGUCGAUACGGGCAUCGCUGGAGUUCGGCAGGGGAGACUGGAAUUCCUGGUGUAGCGGUGAAAUGCGCAGAUAUCAGGAGGAACACCGGUGGCGAAGGCGGGUCUCUGGGCCGAUACUGACGCUGAGGAGCGAAAGCGUGGGGAGCGAACAGG